This 460-nucleotide ribosomal RNA is filed under the name uncultured bacterium. RNAcentral describes it as "partial 16S ribosomal RNA". It matches the Rfam family "Bacterial small subunit ribosomal RNA", at positions 338 to 795 of the family's 1533-position model. The record is from RNAcentral.
CCUACGGGUGGCAGCAGUGAGGAAUAUUGGUCAAUGGGCUUACGCCUGAACCAGCCAAGUCGCGUGAGGGAAGACUGCCCUAUGGGUUGUAAACCUCUUUUGUCAGGGAGCAACGCCGGCUACGUGUAGCCGGACUGAGAGUACCUGAAGAAAAAGCAUCGGCUAACUCCGUGCCAGCAGCCGCGGUAAUACGGAGGAUGCGAGCGUUAUCCGGAUUUAUUGGGUUUAAAGGGUGCGUAGGCGGAAUGCCAAGUCAGCGGUAAAAUCGCGGGGCUCAACCUCGCUCCGCCGUUGAAACUGGCGUUCUUGAGUGGGCGAGAAGUAUGCGGAAUGCGUGGUGUAGCGGUGAAAUGCAUAGAUAUCACGCAGAACUCCGAUUGCGAAGGCAGCUUACUAAACUGCCACUGACAUUGAUGCUCGAAAGUGUGGGUAUCAAACAGGAUUAGAUACCCCAGUAGUC